UACGUAGGGGGCUAGCGUUGUCCGGAAUCAUUGGGCGUAAAGCGCGUGUAGGCGGCCCGGUAAGUCCGCUGUGAAAGUCGGGGGCUCAACCCUCGAAUGCCGGUGGAUACUGUCGGGCUCGAGUGCGGAAGAGGCGAGUGGAAUUCCUGGUGUAGCGGUGAAAUGCGUAGAUAUCUGGAGGAACACCGUUGGCGAAGGCGAGCUUCUGGGCUGUUCCUGACGCUGAAGCGCGAAAGCUGGGGGGAGCAAACAGG
This 254-nucleotide ribosomal RNA is filed under the name uncultured bacterium. RNAcentral describes it as "partial 16S ribosomal RNA". It matches the Rfam family "Bacterial small subunit ribosomal RNA", at positions 524 to 776 of the family's 1533-position model. The record is from RNAcentral.